RNAcentral lists this ribosomal RNA (468 nucleotides) under uncultured bacterium. Its description in RNAcentral is "partial 16S ribosomal RNA". It matches the Rfam family "Bacterial small subunit ribosomal RNA", at positions 28 to 507 of the family's 1533-position model. The record is from RNAcentral.
GACGAACGCUGGCGGCGUGCUUAACACAUGCAAGUCGAACGGAAAGGCCCUGCUUUUGUGGGGUGCUCGAGUGGCGAACGGGUGAGUAACACGUGAGUAACCUGCCCUUGACUUUGGGAUAACUUCAGGAAACUGGGGCUAAUACCGGAUAGGAGCUCCUGCUGCAUGGUGGGGGUUGGAAAGUUUCGGCGGUUGGGGAUGGACUCGCGGCUUAUCAGCUUGUUGGUGGGGUAGUGGCUUACCAAGGCUUUGACGGGUAGCCGGCCUGAGAGGGUGACCGGCCACAUUGGGACUGAGAUACGGCCCAGACUCCUACGGGAGGCAGCAGUGGGGAAUAUUGCACAAUGGGCGGAAGCCUGAUGCAGCAACGCGGCGUGCGGGAUGACGGCCUUCGGGUUGUAAACCGCUUUCGCCUGUGACGAAGCGUGAGUGACGGUAAUGGGUAAAGAAGCAUCGGCUAACUACGUG